GCCAAUAAUAAAUAGAUUUAAAUGGUCAUCUGUGUACAUAAAUUGGGCACCAAUCAAGAAAACCAUUGAUAAAUUUUGAUUUUCAUGAAAAUUGUGCUAGUUGAAAUAUAAACUCCAACUGAGUACUCAUAUUUAUUUGUUGUAUUUACUCCCAAAAUUCCAGCUAGUCCAACUUCAUCCAUAUACUCCGUGACUCUAGAAUCCUCCUCCAGCUAAAACCCUAAACCCCCCGGAUUACACUACAAUAUAAACAAACAGAAAUCUAUUUCAGUUCUCCGUCGCCUCCAAACCAACUUCACCAUUUCCUCGGAUCAUAACAAUUCUAGAGCGAGACAGAUACAGAGAAAAUGGCAAGUUCAACCGCUUCAAGGCUGCUCAGCU
This 381-nucleotide long non-coding RNA is filed under the name Coffea arabica (coffee). RNAcentral describes it as "long non-coding RNA (CARA_LNC003595)". Lineage: Eukaryota; Viridiplantae; Streptophyta; Magnoliopsida; Gentianales; Rubiaceae. The record is from RNAcentral.